This 513-nucleotide ribosomal RNA is filed under the name uncultured bacterium. Its description in RNAcentral is "partial 16S ribosomal RNA". It matches the Rfam family "Bacterial small subunit ribosomal RNA", at positions 30 to 523 of the family's 1533-position model. The record is from RNAcentral.
AUUGAACGCUGGCGGCAGGCUUAACACAUGCAAGUUGAGCGCUGAAGGUUGGUACUUGUACCAACUGGAUGAGCAGCGAACGGGUGAGUAACGCGUGGGGAAUCUGCCUUUGAGCGGGGGACAACAUUUGGAAACGAAUGCUAAUACCGCAUAAAAACUUUAAACACAAGUUUUAAGUUUGAAAGAUGCAAUUGCAUCACUCAAAGAUGAUCCCGCGUUGUAUUAGCUAGUUGGUGAGGUAAAGGCUCACCAAGGCGAUGAUACAUAGCCGACCGGAGAGGGUGAUCGGCCGCAUUGGGACUGAGGCACGGCCCAAAGUCCUACGGGAGGCAGCAGUAGGGAAUCUUCGGCAAUGGACGAAAGUCUGACCGAGCAACGCCGCGUGAGUGAAGAAGGUUUUCGGAUCGUAAAACUCUGUUGGUAGAGAAGAACGUUGGUGAGAGUGGAAAGCUCAUCAAGUGACGGUAACUACCCAGAAAGGGACGGCUAACUACGUGCCAGCCGCCGCGGUAA